This 1615-nucleotide non-coding RNA is filed under the name uncultured archaeon A07HR67. RNAcentral describes it as "Archaeal large subunit ribosomal RNA". The stretch from base 938 to 1601 matches the Rfam family "Archaeal large subunit ribosomal RNA", at positions 2146 to 2973 of the family's 2987-position model. The record is from Rfam by way of RNAcentral.
ACCGCGGUUCGCCGCCUACCCAUUCAUCGGGAGCAUACUCCCAUCUAAGCCCACGGGCACCGUGCCCGUGGGCUUUGUUAUAUUCUGUCCGACCGCUAGGCUUAAUUGCUCGACUGCGGUACCUCAAAUAGCGCCAAGGUGGCAGAGUCUGGUCAGACGCAGCGGCCUGCAGAGCCGCCCGACGCCGGUUCAAAUCCGGCCCUUGGCUCUCACACGUUACGCUAAAGCCGAAGACGAGUAUCGGUGUACUAGCUCUUCUUCGCGCCCAUCUUGUAUAAUAAAAACGACGGAUACAUUUCGGGUAGUGCCAGGAAUAUUUCUGCUGGUGACCUACCCACGAGGGCAAUCACGGUUAGCUCCGAGCUCGUUGAGCGCACGGCGGAACUGCACCUCGUUGAUCCGGGGUUCGGACGUCACCUGUGCUUCGAGUAUGCCAGCGUACUGUUUGAUCUCCUCGUGACUGGGAUCGGUUUCGAGCACACACUCGACGUACCCGUUGAGGGCAGACCGCAACGCCUUCGCGUAGUGGUCGCACGCGAUGUCGAUGCGGGCGCAGUUGUCGUCGAUCACCUCGAACAGCGCCUGGUAGACGGUCGCCGCCGUCCGGUAGCGAUCGCGUUCGCGGUACUGUUCGGCCACCUCGAAGAAGUGUGAGAAAUCAAUUGCGUCCGUGACGACUGGAUAGUCCUGGGUGUGUUGGUCGAACAACUCUUCGAUCUCGUCACGAUACGCUUCGACUGACCUAUCGCCGUCGCCAAGCCGUGCGAGGAACUGCUCACGCAGGUCUGGAUUUUCGGCGAGUAUAUCUCGCACGAACGCGCGUAGGUCGUCAGAAGAGGCAUUUUCGAUCGCUCCGUCAACGCGUUCGCUCUCGUCUCGGGGUGGAUCGGUGGCGAUGUCUAGCAGCACCGCGAUGACGUGUUUAUACUCACCCGCUCUCUCGUAGGGACACGUACACCACGCGUCGAUGGUGUUCUCGCCACUUCGACGGUCACGUCGUACAGACUGGAUCCCCGCACCGCGCCUGUGACCACAUUGCCAAACCGUUCGAUUCGUCAAAUGCGCCCUUCGUCGCGGUAGUCCCGCCCACGUUCGAACACCGCGUCGGUACAGGUCUCCCGAAUGGACGCUUUUCUGAGAUUCAUGGUCACGUGACAGUCGUCUGCUCCCUUUCUCGUUCGUUCGCGGUUCUAUUCGUCUAGUAGUUCGGUACGCUCUCAACGGGCGCGUAGUACCCGCGUUCGUUCCGCCAAGUCUCGAUCCACUCNNNNNNNNNNNNNNNNNNNNAAGGAGGUCGUGAGCUGGGUUUAGACCGUCGUGAGACAGGUCGGCUGCUAUCUAUUGGGGGUGUCAAGGUACUUGACGUGAACAGUCGUAUAGUACGAGAGGAACUACGACUGGUCGCCACUGGUGUACCGGUUGUGUGAAAACGCAGAUGCCGGGUAGCCACGCGACACGGGGUAAGAGCUGAACGCAUCUAAGCUCGAAACCCACAUGGAAAAGAAGUACCGACGAGGUCACUCGUAGAAGACGAGAUCGAUAGACUCGGGAUGUACGCACCAAGGCAACGAGGUGUUUUAGUCCACGAGCACUAACAGACCGAAGCCACAGUCAU